RNAcentral lists this ribosomal RNA (871 nucleotides) under uncultured archaeon. RNAcentral's name for it is "bacterial SSU rRNA". It matches the Rfam family "Archaeal small subunit ribosomal RNA", at positions 1 to 880 of the family's 1478-position model. The record is from RNAcentral.
UUUUCGGUUGAUCCCGCCGGACCCGACUGCUAUCAGAGUGGGACUAAGCCAUGCGAGUCAACGUAGCAAUACGUGGCAUACGGCUCAGUAACACGUAGUCAACAUGCCCAGGGGACGAGGAUAACCUCGGGAAACUGAGGAUAAACCUCGAUAGGCCAUGAUUUCUGGAAUGAUUCUUGGCUCAAACCUAUAUGGCCCCUGGAUUGGACUGCGGCCGAUCAGGCUGUUGGUGAGGUAAUGGCCCACCAAACCUGUAACCGGUACGGGCUCUGAGAGGAGGAGCCCGGAGAUGGGCACUGAGACAAGGGCCCAGGCCCUAUGGGGCGCAGCAGGCGCGAAACCUCUGCAAUAGGCGAAAGCCUGACAGGGUUACUCUGAGUGAUUUCCGUUAAGGAGAUCUUUUGGCACCUCUAAAAAUGGUGCAGAAUAAGGGGUGGGCAAGUCUGGUGUCAGCCGCCGCGGUAAUACCAGCACCCCGAGUGGUCGGGACGUUUAUUGGGCCUAAAGCAUCCGUAGCCGGUUCUACAAGUCUUCCGUUAAAUCCACCUGCUUAACAGAUGGGCUGCGGAAGAUACUAUAGAGCUAGGAGGCGGGAGAGGCAAGCGGUACUCGAUGGGUAGGGGUAAAAUCCGUUGAUCCAUUGAAGACCACCAGUGGCGAAGGCGGCUUGCCAGAACGCGCUCGACGGUGAGGGAUGAAAGCUGGGGGAGCAAACCGGAUUAGAUACCCGGGUAGUCCCAGCUGUAAACGAUGCAGACUCGGUGAUGAGUUGGCUUCUUGCCAACUCAGUGCCGCAGGGAAGCCGUUAAGUUUGCCGCCUGGGGAGUACGGUCGCAAGACUGAAACUUAAAGGAAUGGGCGGGGGAACCAC